This 442-nucleotide ribosomal RNA is filed under the name uncultured bacterium. Its description in RNAcentral is "partial 16S ribosomal RNA". It matches the Rfam family "Bacterial small subunit ribosomal RNA", at positions 338 to 795 of the family's 1533-position model. The record is from RNAcentral.
CCUACGGGUGGCAGCAGUAGGGAAUCUUUCACAAUGGGCGAAAGCCUGAUGGAGCAACGCCGCGUGCAGGAUGAAGGCCUUCGGGUUGUAAACUGCUUUUAUAAGCGAGAAAUAUGAUGGUAACUUAUGAAUAAGGAUCGGCUAACUACGUGCCAGCAGCCGCGGUCAUACGUAGGAUCCGAGCAUUAUCCGGAGUGACUGGGUGUAAAGAGUUGCGUAGGUGGCAUAAUAAGUAGCUAGUGAAAUCUGGUGGCUAAACCAUUCAGACUAUUAGCUAAACUGUUAAGCUCGAGACCGGUAGGGGUAACUGGAAUUUCUAGGGUAGGAGUGAAAUCCGUAGAUAUGAGAAGGAACACCAAUAGCGUAGGCAGGUUGCUGGGACGGUUCUGACACCAAGGCACGAAAGCGUAGGGAGCAAACGGGAUUAGAUACCCGAGUAGUC